This 1345-nucleotide ribosomal RNA is filed under the name uncultured fungus. RNAcentral's name for it is "eukaryotic LSU rRNA". The stretch from base 666 to 1345 matches the Rfam family "Eukaryotic large subunit ribosomal RNA", at positions 1 to 667 of the family's 3401-position model. Lineage: Eukaryota; Fungi. The record is from RNAcentral.
CUUGGUCAUUUAGAGGAAGUAAAAGUCGUAACAAGGUUUCCGUAGGUGAACCUGCGGAAGGAUCAUUACUGAAGCAUAGAAGGGUUGUCGCUGCCUUGAAAGAGGAUGUGCACGCUCUUCAAUCUUCUCUUAACCGCCUGUGCACUUUCCCUUAGACCGUUGAUACCUAUGACUGAAAAUGUCGAUGGAGAGUCUGCAGCUAACACCUGCUUUCUUUCAAUUUCACGGUCUAUGUUUUACACACUAUUUUAAACCUUUGAAUGCUGUUAUAGAAGGGUCGUCAUGACCCAAUAUAAUUAAAUACAACUUUUGGCAACGGAUCUCUUGGCUCUCGCAUCGAUGAAGAACGCAGCGAAAUGCGAUAAGUAAUGUGAAUUGCGGAAUUCAGUGAAUCAUCGAAUCUUUGAACGCACCUUGCACCCUUUGGUAUUCCGAAGGGUAUGCCUGUUUGAGUGUCAUUAAAUUCUCAAACCUGCUGGUCUUUAUUGACUACGUAGGCUUUGGAUGUGGGAGUUGCUGGCCUAACAGUCGGCUCUCCUUAAAUGCAUUAGUGGCUUGUCGAUCCCCAUUCACUUGGUGUGAUAGUAAUAUCUACAUUGAGGAUGGCUAGGUCAUGCUAUGACAACUGCUUUCUAACCGUCCUUUGCUGGACAACUUGAACCAUUUGACCUCAAAUCAGGUAGGACUACCCGCUGAACUUAAGCAUAUCAAUAAGCGGAGGAAAAGAAACUAACAAGGAUUCCCCUAGUAACUGCGAGUGAAGAGGGAAAAGCUCAAAUUUAAAAUCUGGCAGUCUUUGAUUGUCCGAGUUGUAAUUUAGAGAAGUGCUACCCGCGCUGGACCGUGUAUAAGUCUUCUGGAAUGGAGCAUCAUUGAGGGUGAGAAUCCCGUCUUUGACACGGACUACCAGGGCUUUGUGGUGUGCUCUCGACGAGUCGAGUUGUUUGGGAAUGCAGCUCAAAAUGGGUGGUAAAUUCCAUCUAAAGCUAAAUAUUGGCGAGAGACCGAUAGCGAACAAGUACCGUGAGGGAAAGAUGAAAAGAACUUUGGAAAGAGAGUUAAACAGUACGUGAAAUUGCCAAAAGGGAAACGCUUGAAGUUAGUCGCGUUGACUGUGGAUCAGCCUUGCUUGCAUGGUGUACUUUGCAGUUGACGGGUCAACAUCAGUUUUGACCAUUGGAUAAGGGUUGGAGGAAUGUGGCUCCUUUAGGAGUGUUAUAGCCUCUGAUCACAUACAGUGAUUGGGACUGAGGAUCUCAGCACGCCGCAAGGCCGGGUUUCGACCACGUACGUGCUUAGGAUGUUGGCAUAAUAGCUUUAAGCGACCCGUCUUGAAACACGGACC